This 1595-nucleotide ribosomal RNA is filed under the name Leptodactylus melanonotus (black-backed frog). RNAcentral describes it as "16S ribosomal RNA". It matches the Rfam family "Bacterial large subunit ribosomal RNA", at positions 260 to 2836 of the family's 2925-position model. Lineage: Eukaryota; Metazoa; Chordata; Amphibia; Anura; Leptodactylidae. The record is from RNAcentral.
GCCAAAAAUCUAGCCCUAUAUCAACUUAUGAAAUUCCUCGACCUCACAGCACCCAUUAAAACAUUUUUAUAUUUUAGUAAAGGGGAUUGAAAAUCUACUUAGGAGCUAUAAUUUAGUACCGCAAGGGAAAGAUGAAAUAAAAGUGAAACAAAUCUUAAGCAUAAAAAAGUAGAGAUUCACCCUCGUACCUUUUGCAUCAUGGUUUGACUAGUCUAACCAAGCGAAAAGACCUAAAGUUUGACCUCCCGAAACUAAGUGAGCUACUUCAAGGCAGCUUUCUGAGCCAACCCGUCUCUGUAGCAAAAGAGUGGGGAGACCUUUGAGUAGGGGUGAUAGACCUAACGAACUUAGUGAUAGCUGGUUGCUUGAAAAAAGGAUUUAAGUCCAGCCUAAAAUUUCCUUAAUAAACUUAAAUAAUUAAAAAAUUUUAGAGUAAUUCAAGCAAGGUACAGCCUGCUUGAAACAGGGUACAACCUAAAUAUGAGGGUUAUACAUUUUAUAGUGACCAAGUAGGCUUAAGAGCAGCCAUCUUUUAAAAAGCGUCAUAGCUUUAUCACAGUAUCCAUUUAAUUCUAAUUAAUUUAAUGAACCCCACCUUUGUAUCAAGCAUUUCUAUAUUAUUAUAGAAACUUUUAUGUUAAAACUAGUAAUAAGAAGAAGAACUUCUCCCUAAUGCAAGCAUAAAUCAGAAAGGACCCCCCACUGAUACUUAACACCUAUGAAACUAUAGUAGUAACCCUGCUAGAAAAUUCUACUUCACCUUAUGUUAAUCUAACACAAGAGCAUUAUAGGAAAGAUUAAAAGAAAAAGAAGGAACUCGGCAAACUUUAACCCCGCCUGUUUACCAAAAACAUCGCCUCUUGAUUAAUUAUAAGAGGUCCAGCCUGCCCAGUGACUUUGUUCAACGGCCGCGGUAUCCUAACCGUGCGAAGGUAGCGUAAUCACUUGUUCUUUAAAUGAGGACUAGUAUGAAUGGCACCACGAAGGUUAUACUGUCUCCUUUUUCUAAUCAAUGAAACUAAUCUCCCCGUGAAGAAACGGGGAUAAACCUAUAAGACGAGAAGACCCUAUGGAGCUUUAAACACAAGUUACAAAUGCCUACUUCACAUUUUCUCCCAGGAUACUCAUUUUUACUAGGCGUCUUGAUUUCAAGUUUUAGGUUGGGGUGACCACGGAGUAAAAAAUAACCUCCGCAAUGAAUAGAAUCCAUUCUUAAACUCAGGGUUACGACCCUAAGUAUCAAAAAAUUGACACCUAUUGACCCAAUAUUUUGAUCAAUGAACCAAGUUACCCUAGGGAUAACAGCGCAAUCCACUUCAAGAGCCCCUAUCGACAAGUGGGUUUACGACCUCGAUGUUGGAUCAGGGUAUCCUAGUGGUGCAGCCGCUACUAAAGGUUCGUUUGUUCAACGAUUAAAACCCUACGUGAUCUGAGUUCAGACCGGAGUAAUCCAGGUCAGUUUCUAUCUAUAAAGAGAUUUUUCUAGUACGAAAGGACCGAAAAAUCAUGGCCCAUACUUUAUGCAAGCCAUAGCGCUAAAUUUAUGACUUAACCUCAAUAAAAUGGCGUCUCUUUCAUAACUCAAGAAAAGAGCA